RNAcentral lists this ribosomal RNA (495 nucleotides) under uncultured bacterium. RNAcentral's name for it is "partial 16S ribosomal RNA". It matches the Rfam family "Bacterial small subunit ribosomal RNA", at positions 28 to 507 of the family's 1533-position model. The record is from RNAcentral.
GAUGAACGCUGGCGGCGUGCCUAAUACAUGCAAGUAGAACGCUGAAGGAGGAGCUUGCUCUUCUGGAUGAUUUGCGAACGGGUGAGUAACGCGUAGGUAACCUGCCUGGUAGCGGGGGAUAACUAUUGGAAACGAUAGCUAAUACCGCAUGACAACAGUUAUUGCAUGAUAACUGUUUAAAAGGGGCAACUGCUCCACUACCAGAUGGACCUGCGUUGUAUUAGCUAGUUGGUGAGGUAACGGCUCACCAAGGCGACGAUACAUAGCCGACCUGAGAGGGUGAUCGGCCACACUGGGACUGAGACACGGCCCAGACUCCUACGGGAGGCAGCAGUAGGGAAUCUUCGGCAAUGGACGGAAGUCUGACCGAGCAACGCCGCGUGAGUGAAGAAGGUUUUCGGAUCGUAAAGCUCUGUUGUAAGAGAAGAACGAGUGUGAGAGUGGAAAGUUCACACUGUGACGGUAUCUUACCAGAAAGGGACGGCUAACUACGUG